GCCGGGGUGGCGGAAUUGGAAGACGCAGCGGACUUAAAAUCCGCUGGACUUUUAAAAGUCCGUGCCGGUUCGACUCCGGCCCCCGGCA
Molecule: transfer RNA, 88 nt
Filed under: Caldifarciminota bacterium
Lineage: Bacteria; Pseudomonadati; Caldifarciminota
Description: candidate division WOR-3 bacterium (hot springs metagenome) tRNA-Leu
Rfam family: tRNA
About the family: Transfer RNA (tRNA) molecules are approximately 80 nucleotides in length. Their secondary structure includes four short double-helical elements and three loops (D, anti-codon, and T loops).
Source: RNAcentral